UUUCCGUAGGUGAACCUGCGGAAGGAUCAUUAAAGUUAUAGUCCCCCGGCCCUCUGGGCUGGGGUCUUCUAUACCACCCUUUGUUUAUUACACCUUUGUUGCUUUGGCAGGCCUGCCCUCGGGCUGCUGGCUCCGGCCGGCUCGCGUCUGCCAGAGGAUCUAAACUCUGUUUGUAUAUGAAGUCUGAGUACUAUAUAAUAGUUAAAACUUUCAACAACGGAUCUCUUGGUUCUG
This 234-nucleotide unclassified non-coding RNA is filed under the name plant metagenome. Its description in RNAcentral is "partial contains small subunit ribosomal RNA, internal transcribed spacer 1, and 5.8S ribosomal RNA". The record is from RNAcentral.